CGCCUUGCCAGCCCGCUCAGAACUCAAAGGAAUUGACGGGGGCCCGCACAAGCGGUGGAGCAUGUGGUUUAAUUCGAUGAUACGCGAGGAACCUUACCUGGGCUCAAAUGUAUGUUGACGUAUUCUGAAAGGGAUACUUCUUCGGACAAUAUACAAGGUGCUGCAUGGUUGUCGUCAGCUCGUGCCGUGAGGUGUCGGGUUAAGUCCCAUAACGAGCGCAACCCCUACUGCUAGUUGCCAGCGGGUCAUGCCGGGGACUCUAGCGGAACUGCCAGCGUAAGCUGCGAGGAAGGUGGGGAUGACGUCAAAUCAGCACGGCCCUUACGUCCAGGGCUACACACGUGUUACAAUGGCCAGUACAGAGGGCAGCCACCCCGCGAGGGGGCGCUAAUCCUAAAAGCUGGUCCCAGUUCGGAUCGGAGUCUGCAACCCGACUCCGUGAAGCUGGAUUCGCUAGUAAUCGCGCAUCAGCCACGGCGCGGUGAAUACGUUCCGGGCCUU
This 501-nucleotide ribosomal RNA is filed under the name uncultured Pseudomonas sp. RNAcentral describes it as "bacterial SSU rRNA". It matches the Rfam family "Bacterial small subunit ribosomal RNA", at positions 903 to 1382 of the family's 1533-position model. Lineage: Bacteria; Pseudomonadati; Pseudomonadota; Gammaproteobacteria; Pseudomonadales; Pseudomonadaceae. The record is from RNAcentral.